This is a small nucleolar RNA of Hippopotamus amphibius kiboko, 132 nucleotides long. The record is from RefSeq and is a predicted model, not a curated record. NCBI's taxonomy places the organism in Eukaryota, Metazoa, Chordata, Mammalia, Artiodactyla, Hippopotamidae.
GUUGAGGUCUAUCCCAGUGGGGCUCUUUCUGUGGACUUACACAGUGGGAAAUGCCUCACAGAGUUAACUAUGCGGUUGCCUUUACUCACAGGACUAUGUGUCAGAUCUGUGGGGAGGAACCACAAGACAGAG